This 497-nucleotide ribosomal RNA is filed under the name uncultured bacterium. RNAcentral describes it as "partial 16S ribosomal RNA". It matches the Rfam family "Bacterial small subunit ribosomal RNA", at positions 28 to 507 of the family's 1533-position model. The record is from RNAcentral.
GAUGAACGCUGGCGGCGUGCCUAAUACAUGCAAGUCGAGCGAACAGACGAGGAGCUUGCUCCUCUGACGUUAGCGGCGGACGGGUGAGUAACACGUGGAUAACCUACCUAUAAGACUGGGAUAACUUCGGGAAACCGGAGCUAAUACCGGAUAAUAUAUUGAACCGCAUGGUUCAAUAGUGAAAGACGGUUUUGCUGUCACUUAUAGAUGGAUCCGCGCCGCAUUAGCUAGUUGGUAAGGUAACGGCUUACCAAGGCAACGAUGCGUAGCCGACCUGAGAGGGUGAUCGGCCACACUGGAACUGAGACACGGUACAGACUCCUACGGGAGGCAGCAGUAGGGAAUCUUCAGCAAUGGGCGAAAGCCUGACGGAGCAACGCCGCGUGAGUGAUGAAGGUCUUCGGAUCGUAAAACUCUGUUAUUAGGGAAGAACAAAUGUGUAAGUAACUAUGCACGUCUUGAGGGUACCUAAUCAGAAAGCCACGGCUAACUACGUG